This 421-nucleotide ribosomal RNA is filed under the name uncultured bacterium. Its description in RNAcentral is "bacterial SSU rRNA". It matches the Rfam family "Bacterial small subunit ribosomal RNA", at positions 355 to 769 of the family's 1533-position model. The record is from RNAcentral.
UGGGGAAUAUUGGACAAUGGGGGCAACCCUGAUCCAGCGAUGCCGCGUGUGUGAAGAAGGCCUGCGGGUUGUAAAGCACUUUAGUUGGGGAGGAAAGGUAUGUACUGCAUAAGUGCAUGCUGUGACGUUACCCAAAGAAUAAGCACCGGCAAACUCUGUGCCAGCAGCCGCGGUAAUACAGAGGGUGCAAGCGUUAAUCGGACUUACUGGGCGUAAAGGGUGCGUAGGCGGUUAAAUAAGUUAGAUGUGAAAUCCCCGGGCUUAACCUGGGAAUUGCAUUUAAUACUGUAUGACUAGAGUAGAGUAGAGGGAAGUGGAAUUUCCGGUGUAGCGGUGAAAUGCGUAGAUAUCGGAAAGACAUCAGUGGCGAAGGCGGCUUCCUGGACUCAUACUGACGCUGAGGCACGAAAGCAUGGGGGAG